Molecule: small RNA, 290 nt
Organism: Propionivibrio sp.
Lineage: Bacteria; Pseudomonadati; Pseudomonadota; Betaproteobacteria; Rhodocyclales; Rhodocyclaceae
Rfam family: 5' ureB small RNA
Source: Rfam
CUUCUUCGAUCUGUUGCGGGCAGAUGAAGUGAAUGUGGCAGUCGAUGCCGCCGGCGGUGACGAUCAUGCCUUCGCCGGCAAUCGCUUCGGUGCCGGGGCCGAUGACAAUGUCAACGCCGGGCUGGAUGUCCGGGUUGCCGGCCUUGCCGAUGGCAGCGAUACGGCCAUCCUUGAGGCCGAUGUCGGCCUUGACGAUGCCGGUGACGGCGUCAACGAUCAGCGCAUUGGUGAUGACCGUAUCGACCGUUUCGGCCGAGACACGCUGGCUCUGGCCCAUGCCGUCGCGGAUG